GUUGCAAGGUAAAUUGACUUCCGGUAGAAUUUUUUAACUAUAUAAAGAAACCAUACCCGAAGAUUUUUAUCACCACUUUUACAGCAGAUCAUAAAUGGAAACUUAAUUGUCAUAUACGAUGUUACAGAGUAGGUACCAAAUUGUGCUAUUUAUUCACUGUAGAUCUAGAUCUUAACUUUUCUCUUAACUACCAAAGAAGUACACAAAGGAUGUUGAAUGAUACCCAAAGGGUUCUAAUUGCUACCAUUCAAUGUGUGGAAUCAAGUAUUUACCCAGAUACUGCCACAAUAUGCUCUUAUUGUUUUCAAAGGAGUUUUCACACAGUGCCAGAAGCUGUAUAAAUACAUUUAACAAUGUAUAUUUCAAGAAGAAAUGAUGCUUUCUUAUUUCUAAGAGUUUAUCAAUUGGAUGAAUGCCACAAAACUCACUUGUUAUGCCAGAAACUCUUCCUACGAAACUUCCAUACUAGAAUUUGUCCAGUGCCUGUGAUCCUCUGAGUUAAAGGAGAAUGUGCUCCAUAAUACCUGCUAGUAGCUUGCUGAUAGCUGGAAGUUCAUGAAUACUAUGUUGUCCUUGAUUUGAUGAUUCUGAAAACUACCAUUUCUUAAGACUUGAGCAUUAUUUCUAUAAUUUAAACAAAUC
Long non-coding RNA from Biomphalaria glabrata, 642 nucleotides. RefSeq lists it as uncharacterized. Lineage: Eukaryota; Metazoa; Mollusca; Gastropoda; Planorbidae. The transcript has 4 exons. The record is from RefSeq and is a predicted model, not a curated record.